Armigeres subalbatus is the source of this 1569-nucleotide long non-coding RNA. RefSeq lists it as uncharacterized. The record is from RefSeq and is a predicted model, not a curated record. NCBI's taxonomy places the organism in Eukaryota, Metazoa, Arthropoda, Insecta, Diptera, Culicidae. The transcript has 3 exons.
CCGUACGUCAAAAUUCAAUGUAAACACGGAAAAUGGGAUUGGGCGUCACUGGACAUCAUUUGUGAUGUUCAAGUCGAAAUACACGUGUUCAAAUGGCUGUCAGUUGACCCAACGAAAAAACCGAAUUCGUUAGUUGGGCCGAAGUCGUGGCCCACCCAGGGUUCAUAUAUCAGGGUUCACUCAUUUCGACAGUAUGUGGGAGAGACUAGCGCGGGGGUGAAAAAUUCAUUUUCAGUGCAAAACAUAAACAAACUCGUUGGCUGCCCCAUAUAAAAAUCCAAGAUGGCUGAAUCAUGAAAUUGGCAUACACGCUUAGAUUGGUUUACAUAUUUAUGGGUACUAUAUUCACUCAUAUGUGGGUAAAUGCAAUUAUACCAAUAUUAUUAGUAAAACUUACCCAAAAUAUUGGUGAAAUUUACUGAUAUUCUGAAGAAAUAGACUUUACCUAUAUUUGGGUAAUCGCAUUCACCCAUAUUUGGAUGAAAAAAUGAACAUAAAUAAAUAAAGCAGAACUAAUGGCCGCCUCGUGAAUGUCGCCGUCGUCACAGCAGUUUAUAAAUUCAUCCCUUUCUUUCAUUGUUCAACCCAGUCAAAGCCGGUAUCUAUCAACGUACCUAGUUCCGAGUGUUCUUCAUAUGAGAUUGGAACUUCUCGAAGAUCUCCAGUUCCGACCAAACAGCACCAUAUCGACCUCCAUGCAUGCGGCCAAAACGGAUACUAGUUCCUAAUCGAUCAGCGGAGAUUCCAUUGUCGAAACUGUGAGCCCCUGACCCCAAACGGUUCCACAUUCUUAGGAAGUGCCAGUGCUUCGGAUUGUUUCGCAACAGUUCCAGUGAGCUAAUUGAUUUUGCAACAGAAAGGUCUUGACGAUGUUGUUCCGACAUGCAUGCUACCUACCGUCUUGGUCUCAGUUUUGGUGUUCCCGAUCAUCAAUUUGGAAGUGGCCGUGAUGGCAUCAAGAAGCACAGAUCCAGUUAAUUCGAAAAGGAAAUGGAACGUGAGUGCGAAAGGGUGCGGGUACGGGUGCAGUAGUUCCUGUUUGUACCAAAAAUUUUGUUUGCUAUUAUCCGAUGCUGCUCCUGAAGAAACCUCCGGAUUGAUAGGAUUGAUCACCAAUUCCGCAUUGGCAUGCCGUAAAACAUCCACACCGGCAUUGCGUUUAUGUUGUCAGCUAACUUAUGUUUCGGUGUUCCGUUCGUUCCACUCGAGGUUCCACCAUACUGAUACGACGCUGCUACUAAGGGAUGUCCUGUCCUGGGAUCUGUUCCUGCGGUUCCUGCUGAUGAUUAUACAGUACACUGCCAAAAAUAUCUAUAUAAGAUAUAUGUGUCGCCGUUAUACAUUUUUGCAAUAGCUCCACCCUAAUAUAAUCGAUAUAGAACCACACAUAAAUUAAAGAAUUGCUAAUUUGGAACCACACAUAAAGUUUAUUUAGAUAUAUAUUUCAUUAGUAGUUCGCGUGGUGAAUGGUUAUGUGUGCGCUAAUAUACAUCAUAAGUUAAAUCUAUGGAUUUUUGCCAAUAAAUAUGUGUGGAUUUUUAGUAGUGUAGCAGUCAAGCAUCCGGCAAC